CCUACGGGAGGCAGCAGUGGGGAAUAUUGCACAAUGGGCGAAAGCCUGACGCAGCGACGCCGCGUGAGGGAUGAAGGUCUUCGGAUCGUAAACCUCUGUCAGCGGGGAAGAACGGUCACUGUGCUAAUCAGCAGUGAUUUGACGGUACCUGCAAAGGAAGCACCGGCUAACUCCGUGCCAGCAGCCGCGGUAAUACGGAGGGUGCGAGCGUUAAUCGGAAUUACUGGGCGUAAAGCGCUCGUAGGCGGUAUGUCAAGUCACAGGUGAAAUCCCCGCGCUCAACGUGGGAACUGCAUUUGAUACUGGCAAACUGGAGUGUCGGAGAGGAGAGUGGAAGUCCAGGUGUAGGAGUGAAAUUCGUAGAGAUCUGGAGGAACAUCAGUGGCGAAGGCGACUAUCUGGAAGAUAACUGACGCUGAGGAGCGAAAGCGUGGGUAGCAAACAGGAUUAGAUACCCGUGUAGUC
Molecule: ribosomal RNA, 465 nt
Filed under: uncultured bacterium
Lineage: Bacteria
Description: partial 16S ribosomal RNA
Rfam family: Bacterial small subunit ribosomal RNA
Source: RNAcentral